CCACUGCACCACGACGGGAACUCCUCUGCAUUUAUUUUGAGAGUAACUGCAUAAGAAAGCUUGCUUUGAGCAUUCGUGAUCAGCCUCUUUGGUCCUUCAGAUUCCUUCAAAUUCAAUUCAGACAAUUGAUUCAAAAUCAACAAUGAUAGCACAAUGAUGGUAGAGACAAACAGAACUUGAGUUACUUCAAUUCUGUCAUUCUGUGUGACCACAUGGAGUUUUUAUUGUGUUUAAAGUUUCUGGCAUUUAUUGUCAAAUGCGAUUUUUAUGCAUCUCUGCCAAAUGUAUCCUUAUGUUGAAGACUUUUCCUAUUUAUUUAAACUCUUACUUCAGGUGAAAGAGAGCUUCUGAAAUUAAAAUUAAUGAAAAAUGUUCUUUGAUCAAAGAUGGAUCAACACAUCAUGAAUAUGGGAAGAAAAAGGAGUUUGACAGUCAUUGACAAAUGUGCAGAAGUUAAUUGCAAAAACAGAAACUAUAGCAAUUGCUAUUCAUUACUAUAAAAGACCAAUAGAUCUACCACCUCUUCUAAUAGGACCAUGAAUGUGUUCAUCCCCCGGGAAGGGAAGGACUUCUAGGCUGAGGGCAUGGCCAAGGCAGGAGUGGAGAGUGGCGAUGAGCUGGUCCAGAGCCUGAGUGUGCCACAGCUUGAAGUUCUCAGACCAGGGAUUGAACCUGGCAGCAGAGGUGAAAGUGCCAAAUCCAAGCCACCAGACCACCAAGGAACUCCAUUCAGCAUUCUUAUUCUUUUAUUCACUCAGGUCGAAGCCAAAAAUUUAAAUGGAAAUUUCAGUCUGUAAAAUGUUUCCUCAGUUCCUGCUAGUUUGUCCUCAAAGAGUCUCAGAGUUGUCUUAUUUGUACAUUGCAUGACUGGUUGAAAAAAAUUUUUUUAAAUCCUGUCAUCAAAGAUGUUUUUUGGUCUAUACACGAGUUUGGGUUUUUGUUUUGUUUUUAAAGAGAAACCGCCUAGUGUUAUGGAAUUAUGUGGGAUGUUUACUAAGCUAAAAACUGUAGUAAUAUGCCCACAUUUUCUACCCUAAUUCUAACAGUGGAUGGUAAAGGGGCAGAGGACAAAAUAAGUGGGAAGAUUGGAAAGAUCACCCACAAGCAGGACAUGGAGAGGAAUAAACCUGAAGCAAGAACAUUUGCUUCUGUGACUUAUGUUGGUGGUUAGAAAAUGCUGGUAUAAUCUUGUUGGGUAUGUGUUGAAGAAAAAAAUUAUCAUGACUUUUCCACCAAGAAACUAGAAUCAUGAAAGACAAAAUCAAGAGUAAUACUAGCCACUCCUUUUUGAGCACUGGCACUGAGGCAGGCAUUUUGUGAAGUACCUUCAUACAGUUUUACCUUUAAACUCUCAGCAGCUCUGGAUGGAAAGGGUCAUCUCCCUAUUUUGCAGAGUCAGCUCAGAGAAAUAAAAUGACUUCCCCAAGAUCAUGUAACUGAAACAUGAUGAUGUUGACCCACUUGCCUCCAAAGUCUUUGUUCUCAACUGUUACAUCACAUCUCCUCUCUUCAGUAAGAUGAAUUGAUGUGAUAUAAAUAAACAUGGAAGAAAUAGAAAACUUGGAGGUGACAUAAAAAAAAAAAAAAGCCUCAGCAAAAGUAUUGCUCCAUUUAAAGCAUCCAUGGAGGGAGAGUUUGGCAGGUGUAUGGAGGUCCUGAAAGAGCCAUGCCCACAGUCCUGCUUCUCAUCUCAAUGGCAACACCAUCAUCUCCUCCAUUUAAUGCCACAGAGUUAGUGCAAUACCAAUAGAAACGAAAACGCAGUGCCUUGCUCUCAAAGGUUCAGAUUACCAAAAGUUGUAGAGCACAGCCUUGUUCUGUAAUCACUUCCCUAUUGAUAUAAAACUCACAAAUAAGAUGUUUCAUUACAAUAAGACCUGAAGACAAUCAGCUCUUUCCUCAUAGUGGGGGAAUCAAGGGUGGGCACUGAAAGCAAAUAGAAUUUUGGGAGCUGGAAUGGUCAUACUGAAACUGGUUAAGCGGAAGUAUUUGUAUUAAAGUGACCACUUCUGCAUCACA
Phacochoerus africanus (Common warthog) is the source of this 2019-nucleotide long non-coding RNA. RefSeq lists it as uncharacterized. Lineage: Eukaryota; Metazoa; Chordata; Mammalia; Artiodactyla; Suidae. The record is from RefSeq and is a predicted model, not a curated record. The transcript has 2 exons.